RNAcentral lists this ribosomal RNA (937 nucleotides) under Listeria monocytogenes. RNAcentral describes it as "partial 23S ribosomal RNA". It matches the Rfam family "Bacterial large subunit ribosomal RNA", at positions 1239 to 2173 of the family's 2925-position model. The record is from RNAcentral. Lineage: Bacteria; Bacillati; Bacillota; Bacilli; Caryophanales; Listeriaceae.
UUCUAAGGGCGGUGAAGUCAGACCGGAAGGACUGGUGGAGCGCUUAGAAGUGAGAAUGCCGGUAUGAGUAGCGAAAGAAGGGUGAGAAUCCCUUCCACCGAAUAUCUAAGGUUUCCUGAGGAAGGCUCGUCCGCUCAGGGUUAGUCGGGACCUAAGCCGAGGCCGAUAGGCGUAGGCGAUGGACAACAGGUAGAGAUUCCUGUACCAGUGCUAAUUGUUUAACCGAUGGGGUGACACAGAAGGAUAGGGAAUCGCACGAAUGGAAAUGUGCGUCCAAGCAGUGAGUGUGAGAAGUAGGCAAAUCCGCUUCUCGCGAAGCAUGAGCUGUGAUGGGGAAGGAAAUUAAGUACGGAAGUUCCUGAUUUCACGCUGUCAAGAAAAGCCUCUAGGAAGAGUAGUACUGCCCGUACCGCAAACCGACACAGGUAGAUGAGGAGAGAAUCCUAAGGUGAGCGAGAGAACUCUCGUUAAGGAACUCGGCAAAAUGACCCCGUAACUUCGGGAGAAGGGGUGCUCUAUUAGGGUGCAAGCCCGAGAGAGCCGCAGUGAAUAGGCCCAGGCGACUGUUUAGCAAAAACACAGGUCUCUGCAAAACCGUAAGGUGACGUAUAGGGGCUGACGCCUGCCCGGUGCUGGAAGGUUAAGAGGAGUGCUUAGCUUCGGCGAAGGUACGAAUUGAAGCCCCAGUAAACGGCGGCCGUAACUAUAACGGUCCUAAGGUAGCGAAAUUCCUUGUCGGGUAAGUUCCGACCCGCACGAAAGGCGCAACGAUCUGGGCACUGUCUCAACGAGAGACUCGGUGAAAUUAUAGUACCUGUGAAGAUGCAGGUUACCCGCGACAGGACGGAAAGACCCCGUGGAGCUUUACUGCAACCUGAUAUGGAAUGUUUGUACCGCUUGUACAGGAUAGGUAGGAGCCGAAGAGACGUGUGCGCUA